Molecule: transfer RNA, 85 nt
Filed under: Candidatus Komeilibacteria bacterium
Lineage: Bacteria; Candidatus Komeiliibacteriota
Description: tRNA-Leu
Rfam family: tRNA
About the family: Transfer RNA (tRNA) molecules are approximately 80 nucleotides in length. Their secondary structure includes four short double-helical elements and three loops (D, anti-codon, and T loops).
Source: RNAcentral
GCCGGAGUGGUGAAACUGGUAUACACGCAUGGUUUAGGACCAUGUGCCGAAAGGCGUGAGAGUUCGAGUCUCUCCUCCGGCACCA